UUCAAAUGUUAGUGGUGACACUGCCAGAACCGUGCUUACAGCCUAUUAAAAAAGGCAUUUACCUAGGACUCCCAACUUUUAUAAAACUUUUAGGACCUUUAAUUACAAAAAAAAAUUUACAUGGUAGUUAAUGUAUUCUUUUAGUUAGAUUUUUAUUAUUAUUUGAUUCUAAAUUUGACUUCUGUUUAAAAUAACUAAUUUGUGAUCAAUUUUACUAUAUUUUAUAUAAAACUAUAAAGAUUCUACUUCAAAUUAACUGCAAAUA
Molecule: long non-coding RNA, 265 nt
Filed under: Brassica rapa (field mustard)
Lineage: Eukaryota; Viridiplantae; Streptophyta; Magnoliopsida; Brassicales; Brassicaceae
Description: long non-coding RNA (BRAP_LNC006511)
Source: RNAcentral